AUCCAGCUAACGAGUUCAAAGUAGGAAGAAACGCGCGUCCUGGAU
This 45-nucleotide non-coding RNA is filed under the name Schistosoma margrebowiei. Lineage: Eukaryota; Metazoa; Platyhelminthes; Trematoda; Strigeidida; Schistosomatidae. The record is from RNAcentral.